RNAcentral lists this ribosomal RNA (394 nucleotides) under uncultured microorganism. RNAcentral describes it as "bacterial SSU rRNA". It matches the Rfam family "Bacterial small subunit ribosomal RNA", at positions 9 to 399 of the family's 1533-position model. The record is from RNAcentral.
GAGUUUGAUCGUGGCUCAGAUUGAACGCUGGCGGCAUACCUUACACAUGCAAGUCGAACGGCAGCAUGAUCUAGCUUGCUAGAUUGAUGGCGAGUGGCGAACGGGUGAGUAAUACAUCGGAACGUGCCCUGUAGUGGGGGAUAACUAGUCGAAAGAUUAGCUAAUACCGCAUACGACCUGAGGGUGAAAGUGGGGGACCGCAAGGCCUCAUGCUAUAGGAGCGGCCGAUGUCUGAUUAGCUAGUUGGUGGGGUAAAGGCCCACCAAGGCGACGAUCAGUAGCUGGUCUGAGAGGACGAUCAGCCACACUGGGACUGAGACACGGCCCAGACUCCUACGGGAGGCAGCAGUGGGGAAUUUUGGACAAUGGGCGAAAGCCUGAUCCAGCAAUGCCG